RNAcentral lists this long non-coding RNA (1069 nucleotides) under Gossypium raimondii (Peruvian cotton). RNAcentral's name for it is "long non-coding RNA (GRAI_LNC003483)". Lineage: Eukaryota; Viridiplantae; Streptophyta; Magnoliopsida; Malvales; Malvaceae. The record is from RNAcentral.
GACUACAGCAACAUCUUGGUCCAUAUUAUGCCCCACCGCCAAUUAUUUUUAACCUUCCAAACAUAUCAAGCAGCUACUCAAGUACGUCAAAUACCCAAACUGAAAAAUAAUUUGUAUUGUAGAAGGUAACAUAAGAACUAAGGGCGAAGGCAAAGGUGUAUACAAGUCCCUUACUCUCCCAUAAAAUGGAAAAUUUCAGCUUUAAUCACUUUUAUGUUUAUAAAAUUUUAAAUAAAUACAUGAUAAAAUUAUAAUUUGACUCUUUUAGAAAUGAUAAACUUUUGAUUUAGUCUUUUUAAAAACUAUAAAUAUGUUUGUCAAUACAAUGGUAAACUUGCAUUUUAACUCUCAUAACAAUAAAUAACUUAAUCUCGGCCUAUUAAAAAAAAUUGUGGAUUCCCUUUUGCAAAAGAACAUAACCAAUAACAAAUAGAUACAUGAAAGCAAAAUCAAGAGGUCAGGACAAGAGUAAAAGCUAAUGAUGGACUCCUUUUGUAGCCUUUGUUAAACAAUUAGCCAUCCUAUCGCAUUCUCAAUGCAUAUGUGUAAUACCAAUAUCUCAAUAUCAAUGCAACAAGUCUCCAAUGGCAUGAAUGACAUACGAAUUUAGUUGUUGUAUCAUUAGAGUACCCUUAACAUGGUGCAAUGCGUCCUCCAAACAAUUUAUUUCUAACAACACAUCACAACGGCUAUGGAUUUUCCGAAACAACAAAGUAUAACAGAAAAAUUAUUAUACUCAAUGUCAAAAAACAAGAUGAAAAAACAAAGUAUAACAGUCAAAAUUUCAAACAAAAUCUCAUUGUCCAGCAGUACAAUUUUCAGUGUUUCAAACCACAUAUCAAACAUAAUACAGUUGGUGAAUCCGGUUGAAGACUACACACAUGAACAUGCCACAAUCCAAGGCAAAGGCAGGCAAAGAUAUGAAAAGUUCAAGAUUCAUACCUCAAACCAAACGCUAAGACCGAGAGAAAAAAUGAAGCAGUGGAUCACAAGAAUCAGCAGUGAAUUAAUCCUUCCAGACUGCAAGUCAAGCCGCUAACAGAGCAUGCAUGCCUGGAUCACAAGAAUC